This 364-nucleotide ribosomal RNA is filed under the name uncultured bacterium. RNAcentral describes it as "bacterial SSU rRNA". It matches the Rfam family "Bacterial small subunit ribosomal RNA", at positions 448 to 793 of the family's 1533-position model. The record is from RNAcentral.
AACAUAUCUGAGAGUAACUGUUCAGGUAUUGACGGUAUUUAACCAGAAAGCCACGGCUAACUACGUGCCAGCAGCCGCGGUAAUACGUAGGUGGGCAAGCGUUGUUCCGGAGUUUAUUUGGGCGGUAAAGACGAGCGCAGGCGGUUUUUAAGGUUCUUGAUGUGAAAGACCUUCGGCUCAACCGAAGAAAGUGCAUCGGAAACUGGGAAACUUGAGUGCAGAAGAGGACAGUGGAACUCCAUGUGUAGCGGUGAAAUGCGUAGAUAUAUGGAAGAACACCAGUGGCGAAGGCGGCUGUCUGGUCUGUAACUGACGCUGAGGCUACGAAAGUAUGGGUAGCAAACAGGAUUAGAUACCCUGGUAG